CCUACGGGUGGCAGCAGUGGGGAAUAUUGCACAAUGGGGGAAACCCUGAUGCAGCGACGCCGCGUGAAGGAAGAAGUAUUUCGGUAUGUAAACUUCUAUCAGCAGGGAAGAAAAUGACGGUACCUGACUAAGAAGCCCCGGCUAACUACGUGCCAGCAGCCGCGGUAAUACGUAGGGGGCAAGCGUUAUCCGGAUUUACUGGGUGUAAAGGGAGCGUAGGCGGUUUAGCAAGUCAGAAGUGAAAGCCCGGGGCUCAACUCCGGGACUGCUUUUGAAACUGUUGAACUAGAGUGCAGGAGAGGUAAGUGGAAUUCCUAGUGUAGCGGUGAAAUGCGUAGAUAUUAGGAGGAACACCAGUGGCGAAGGCGGCUUACUGGACUGUAAAUGACGCUGAGGCUCGAAAGCGUGGGGAGCAAACAGGAUUAGAUACCCCUGUAGUC
Molecule: ribosomal RNA, 440 nt
Filed under: uncultured bacterium
Lineage: Bacteria
Description: partial 16S ribosomal RNA
Rfam family: Bacterial small subunit ribosomal RNA
Source: RNAcentral